CACACCGUAAACGAUGAUCACUAGUCGUCGGAGGAUUCGACCCCUUCGGUGACGUCGCUAACGCAUUAAGUGAUCCACCUGGGGAGUACGCUCGCAAGGGUGAAACUCAAAGGAAUUGACGGGAGCCCGCACAAGCGGUGGAGCAUGUGGUUUAAUUCGAUGCAACGCGAAGAACCUUACCUGGGCUCGAAGUGUAGUGUAAACUCAUGAAAGUGAGGUAUCCCUUCGGGGAGCGCUACAUAGGUGC
This 247-nucleotide ribosomal RNA is filed under the name uncultured bacterium. Its description in RNAcentral is "partial 16S ribosomal RNA". It matches the Rfam family "Bacterial small subunit ribosomal RNA", at positions 796 to 1041 of the family's 1533-position model. The record is from RNAcentral.